Molecule: non-coding RNA, 5303 nt
Organism: Coffea arabica (coffee)
Lineage: Eukaryota; Viridiplantae; Streptophyta; Magnoliopsida; Gentianales; Rubiaceae
Source: RefSeq, a predicted model, not a curated record
AAAUUAACGAUCCGCUGCAGUAGCAUUACCUUGCUUCCGCCACACAGUCCCACGCAACCGCAGCUCCCCCCAUUCCGUCCCUUCCCAUCACCACCUCCGCCUCCGAUCCCCCUCUCUGCCGCGCUUCGGUCACCGUUAAACCCGACCUGCCCAAUGUGAAAGAAACAAUUAAAAGCAAAACAGAAAACAAAACCCUAGCUAAUUCAAACGCUUAGAGGGAAAACAACACAAGCUCAGAAUGGGGAAUAAAAUCGCGCGAACAACGCAAGCUUCGGCGACGGAGUAUUACCUGCACGAUUUACCGUCUUCUUAUAAUUUAGUAUUGAAAGAAGUCUUAGGCCGAGGACGAUUCCUGAAAUCGAUCCUGUGCAAGCACGACGAAGGACUUGUGCUAGUCAAGGUUUAUUUCAAAAGAGGGGACUCCAUUGACUUACGCGACUACGAGCGCCGCCUCUCCCAAAUUCACGGUGUAUUUACUGGCCUCGAUCACCCUCAUGUCUGGCCCUUCCAGUUUUGGCUUGAAACUGACAAAGCUGCCUACUUGUUGAGACAAUACUUUUUUAAUAAUCUUCAUGAUCGGCUGAGCACUCGACCUUUCCUCAGUCUUGUUGAGAAGAAAUGGCUGGCUUUUCAGCUGCUUUAUGCUGUAAAACAGAGCCAUGAAAAUGGAGUUUGUCAUGGUGAUAUUAAGUGUGAGAAUGUUCUGGUUACUUCCUGGAACUGGCUUUAUCUUGCUGAUUUUGCAUCAUUCAAACCGACGUAUAUUCCACAUGAUGAUCCUUCUGAUUUUUCGUUUUUCUUUGACACUGGUGGAAGAAGGCGGUGUUACCUUGCUCCUGAGAGAUUUUAUGGGCAUGGAGGUGAAACGCAAGUUGCUCAAGAUGCACCAUUAAAACCAUCAAUGGACAUCUUUGCUGUAGGGUGUGUAAUAGCUGAGCUAUUCCUCGAGGGUCAGCCAUUGUUUGAGUUGUCUCAACUGCUUGCUUAUCGUAGAGGACAAUAUGAUCCUAGCCAACAUCUAGAAAAAAUUCCAGAUUCAGGAAUCCGCAAGAUGAUUCUUCAUAUGAUUCAAUUGGAUCCGGAGGCACGUUUUUCUGCUGAAAGCUAUCUGCAGAACUUCUCUGGCAUUGUGUUUCCUGGCUACUUCUCUCCAUUUCUCCACAAUUUCUAUUCCUUGUUGAAUCCCCUUAAUUCUGAUGCAAGGGUUUUAAUAUGCCAGACGUCUUUUCAAGAGAUUCUUAGACAAAUGAUGAGCAGUAGUGUAGUCAAGGAGACUGUUUCUGGGGAGGCGCUUUCUUUAGAUGCUAUGCAUCAAUCUCUCCAUGGGACUGAUGCACAACAUAAUACAAAUGUGGAGGACACCAGUAGUAAAAGAGAAAAGGUGGAUAAGGGCUCAAUUCAUGAUAGGUUUGAUCUUCUUGGUGAUGUUGGUAAUCUACUCAGGGAUGUAAAGGAAAAUAAUCGAUUUCAUAGCAUGAAACCGUUGCUGGAAGGUGUGGCUAGAUCUGCAUAUUCUCAAAACAGAAAGCAGUGUGAUGUGCAAUCUCCUGAUGAGCUGAUUCAGAGUAUCUCUAAUAUAUUUAACAGAAGUCACCAUCCCUUCUUAAAAAAGAUAACAACAAGUGAUUUGAACUCAUUAAUGUCGGAUUAUGACAACCAGUCAGACACUUUUGGUAUGCCUUUUCUACCAUUACCUCAAGAUAUCAUGAGCUGUGAAGGUAUGGUUCUGAUUGCCUCAUUGCUCUGUUCCUGCAUAAGAAAUGUCAAACUGCCAUUCAUGAGGAGAGGGGCUGUGCUUCUAUUGAAGUCGUGUUCCUUAUACAUUGAUGAUGAAGAUCGAUUGCAGCGUGUGCUUCCAUAUGUCAUUGCAAUGCUCUCAGAUCCAGCUGCAAUUGUGCGUUGUGCUGCCCUAGAGACUUUAUGUGACAUUCUUCCCUUAGUCAGAGAUUUUCCACCCAGUGAUGCUAAAAUUUUUCCCGAGUAUAUUCUUCCAAUGCUCUCCAUGCUCCCUGAUGAUCCAGAGGAAAGUGUAAGGAUAUGUUAUGCAAGCAAUAUAUCUAAGCUGGCACUUACUGCUUAUGGGUUUUUGAUUCACUCUAUAAGCUUGAGUGAGGCAGGAGUUCUCAGUGAAUCAAGUUCGCCACAGAAGUCACUCUCUACAUCCUCUGAUACAUCUGGAAGGAGAUACAGUCCAAAUAGUGAUGCACAGCUUGUGCAAUUAAGGAAGUCUAUUGCGGAUGUCAUUCAAGAACUUGUGAUGGGCCCAAAGCAAACACCAAAUAUCAGGAGAGCACUCCUGCAUGACAUUGGCAAUCUUUGUUGGUUUUUUGGCCAGAGGCAGAGUAAUGAUUUCUUGUUGCCCAUCCUCCCAGCUUUCCUAAAUGACCGGGAUGAGCAACUCAGGGCAGUGUUUUAUGGACAGAUCAUAUAUGUCUGCUUUUUCGUGGGACAACGGAGUGUCGAGGAAUAUCUUUUGCCAUACAUUGAGCAGGCUUUAAGUGAUGUAACUGAGGCUGUAAUUGUGAAUGCUCUGGAAUGCCUAGCUAUUUUAUGCAAAAGUGGAUUUCUAAGGAAGAGAAUCUUGCUUGAGAUGAUAGAACACGCUUUUCCACUGUUGUGUUAUCCUAGUCAAUGGGUCAGGAGGGCCGAUGUCACAUUCAUUGCAGCUAGCAGCGAGAGUUUAGGUGCAGUAGAUUCAUAUGUUUUCCUUGUGCCUGUUAUACGCACCUUCCUGCGUAGACAACCAGCAUCUUUAGCUUCAGAAAAGGCUCUUUUUUCAUGCCUAGAGCCACCAGUGUCAAGAGAGAGAUACUAUCGUGUUUUAGAAAGUGCCAGGAGCUCAGACAUGCUGGAGAGACAGCGAAAAAUAUGGUACAACAGUGACUCACAGGCUAAAAAUUGGGAAACAGUGGAUUUUCUUCAGAGAGGGGUGAAGGAGCUGGAUCCAAUGAUGUGCUGGUCUGACCGACAAAGAGAUCUUCAGAGCAAUAAAGUUGUUGAACGUGCAAAUCUGCCUCUGGAUCUUGCAGAUUGUAAUGAUAAUGACCAGAAUUCAAAAGUUGUGGGCAACUCAGUGCAAAGUCCUAUGGCUAUGGAUUCUGGCGACUUCCUGGAUUCUGAAAAGUUGCAGCUGCCCGGUUUUAUCUCUCCACCUCUUAGUGGAAUGAACAGUUUAAUGGAGAAAUCAUCACAAGGCAUUCCUUUGUAUUACUUUAAAGUUGAUAACAAACGAGCUGCAGGCUCUCCAACAGUCUCUGAUUCAUCAUUACCAUGUGGUUCUUUAGGUUUUGGUUCUGCAUCCUUGCCAUGGAUGGAUCCAGUUAGUAAAUCAUUUAGCUUGGCCAAUUCAGAUCCAGCUCCUAAGUUUAUCUCAGGCUCAAUCAGCAUUGGUGGUGGUUCCACACAAUUGCGAAGGGUUGUACAUGAAGUUGAAGACAGGGAAAUGGAUCAAACAGCCUUUGUAAAUAACAAGUUUCUGGAAAUGGGAGUGUCUGGCACAACAAAAGGGAGUUCCCUUUCAAUUGAAAGUAAUUCUGCUUCAAGUGAGGGUGCAGAUGUACCAUCUUUUGGGCGAACAUCGACGAUUCCAGAUUCAGGGUGGAGGCCUCGUGGGGUGUUGGUUGCGCAUCUCCAGGAUCACCACUCUGCUGUUAAUGACAUAGCUGUUUCCACUGACCAUAGCUUUUUCGUAAGUGCAUCUGAAGAUUCUACUGUUAAACUUUGGGAUUCUAAAAGGUUAGAAAAAGAUAUCUCAUUCAGGUCGCGCCUAACUUAUUCUUUAGAUGGAAGUCGAGCACUGUGUGUUGCUGUGAUCCAGGGUUCUGCUCAAGUUGUUGUUGGAGCUUGUGAUGGAGCUAUACACAUGUUCUCUGUUGAUUACGUAUCCGGGGGUCUGGGCAAUGUUGUGGAGAAAUAUUCAGGCAUAGCUGAUGUUAAAAAGAACGGAGUUGGAGAAGGUGCUAUAUUAAACCUUUUGAACUACUCCCCUGAUGGUGGUGCUUGCAAAAUGAUUUUGUACAGUACCCAGAAUUGUGGAAUUCAUCUGUGGGAUACAAGAACAAGUUCAAAUGUUUGGAAUUCAAAAGUGGUCCCUGAGGAGGGUUAUGUAUCUUCUCUGGUUGCAGAUCCUUGUGGGAACUGGUUUGUCACUGGGUCAUCAAGAGGCGUGCUUACCCUUUGGGAUUUGAGGUUUGGAAUACCUGUCAAUUCAUGGCAGUAUUCUCUUGCAUGCCCAAUUGAGAAAAUGAGCCUUUUUGUUCCUCCUCCUAGUACCUCCUUCUUCCUAUCUACCAGACCUCUUGUUUAUGUUGCAGCAGGGUGUAAUGAAGUUUCUCUUUGGAAUGCAGAAAAUGGAAGCUGCCAUCAGGUGUUGAGGGUAGCAAAUAAUGAGACCGAUGCUGAAAUUUCUGACUCGCCUUGGGCAUUAGCCAGAGCAUCCAGCAAGGGCAAUGCCAAAUCGGAUAUCAGGGUGGGGAUCUAUUGACAGGGGGUACUGACUUGAAAAUACGUCGCUGGGACCAUUCCAGCCCUGAUCGAAGUUAUUGCGUAUGUGGACCAUCUAUAAAGGGAGUUGGAAAUGAUGAUAGUUUUGAGACAAAGUCUUACUAUGGUGUGCAAGUUGUGCAGGAGGGCAGAAGACGACCUUUGACAAUGAGAUUGACCACAAAGACUAUCCUUGCUGGUGCUGCCACUGAUUCUGCAGGAUGUCACCGUGAUUCUGUCCUCUCUUUGGCUUCUGUGAAGCUGAACCAGAGGCUUCUGAUUUCGAGCAGUAGGGAUGGUGCAAUUAAGGUUUGGAAGUAGAGGACUCGGAAAUAACUGUUGUUCAUUGUAUAUAUUGUAGGUUCAGUAGAAAUAAUUGUACAGUAUUUACCAAAUCUGAAAUACAGAUUUUUGUGUUCCUAACUGCUUUACAUUUCUAACCUAGCUUUAGUUGUACAGCUUAUGAGCUUAUUGUGACAUGUAUAUCUUCUUUUUGCAUGGAAAUAAUGCUUUCAUUUGUGUUGACAUCCAACUUUCCUUUAGCUUGGUACUGCAGUAUGUCAAACUGUUGUACUCCAUUUAGACCUCUAAUUGUGAAACUUUAAUUCUUAUUUGUUGGCCUAGGCCACAUUACUGGCUCAACUGUGAAACUGUUAAAAGAAUUUGUUAUAGUGCUGUUAAAAGGAUUAGGUAGUAUUUUGUUUGCUCAACCACUAUGAAGUUCUUUAAAUAUUGGAUUUAUCUCCCGUUUGAUAUAACUGCCAUAAUGAUGGAUGGAAAUUUUUGAGGCAUUGUGAAAGCCUGUCUGUGGUAUUGAUCUU